CUUAGAAAGUGGCGAACGGGUGAGUAACGCGUGGGUAACCUGCCCUAUGGAAAGGAAUAAGCCUCGGGAAACUGGGAGUAAUGCCUUAUAAUACAUUGAAGUCGCAUGGCUUUGAUGUUAAACGCUCCGGUGCCAUAGGAUGGACCCGCGUCCCAUUAGCUAGUUGGUGAGAUAACAGCCCACCAAGGCGACGAUGGGUAACCGGUCUGAGAGGGCGAACGGUCACACUGGAACUGAGACACGGUCCAGACUCCUACGGGAGGCAGCAGUGGGGAAUAUUGCGCAAGUUGGGGGCAACCCUGACGCAGCAAUACCGCGUGAGUGAAGAAGGUUUUCGGAUCGUAAAGCUCUGUUAUUGGGGAAGAAAAAAGACGGUACCCAAGAAGAAAGUCCCGGCUAACUACGUGCCAGCAGCGGC
Molecule: ribosomal RNA, 418 nt
Filed under: uncultured bacterium
Lineage: Bacteria
Description: bacterial SSU rRNA
Rfam family: Bacterial small subunit ribosomal RNA
Source: RNAcentral